GCUGAUUCAUCAGCUCACAGUGAAACGAGCUUGCAUGAGAGCAUCCCAGGACCACUGAACAUUCAGAGGGGCUGGAGGCAGAGAAAAACUUCCCCUACUCAAGAAAAAGAAGCUAUUUUUGUCAAGUUAAAUGAGCCUGAACCUGCAGAGCUGAAUUGGCAGAUGAAUAUUGCUAAUUGGUGCAGUUUCUUCGGUGCAGGAAAGAGUUUCCAAUCAGACCGGCAAUUCAUUGGCCACAUGAAGGACUAGGAGAGGAAAUUAUCUCCAGGAAAAAUGCCAUGCAUGACCAGGGUUAAUGAUAUGGAACACACCCCACAAAGAUGCUUUGCCUUUGGGUACCAGGACUUCAAAUCCUACACAAUGAAGGAUCAAAAAUGAAACCAAGAGAGAAAAGAAACAGUGC
This 403-nucleotide long non-coding RNA is filed under the name Homo sapiens (human). RNAcentral describes it as "non-protein coding LINC00836:4". Lineage: Eukaryota; Metazoa; Chordata; Mammalia; Primates; Hominidae. The record is from RNAcentral.